UAGGGAAUAUUGGUCAAUGGGUGAGAGCCUGAACCAGCCAUGCCGCGUGCAGGAAGAAGGCCUUCUGGGUUGUAAACUGCUUUUGCCAGGGGAUAAAAUAGCUUUGCGAAGCAAAUUGAAGGUACCUGGUGAAUAAGCCACGGCUAACUACGUGCCAGCAGCCGCGGUAAUACGUAGGUGGCAAGCGUUGUCCGGAUUUAUUGGGUUUAAAGGGUGCGUAGGCGGUUCUAUAAGUCAGUGGUGAAAUACUCCGGCUCAACCGGAGAGGUGCCAUUGAUACUGCAGGACUUGAGUACAGACGAGGUAGGCGGAAUUGACGGUGUAGCGGUGAAAUGCUUAGAUAUCGUCAAGAACACCGAUAGCGAAGGCAGCUUACUAGACUGUAACUGACGCUGAGGCACGAAAGUGUGGGGAUCAAACAGGAUUAGAUACCCCCGUAGUCCCUGAGCGGGCUGGCAAGGCGCAU
This 466-nucleotide ribosomal RNA is filed under the name uncultured bacterium. RNAcentral describes it as "bacterial SSU rRNA". It matches the Rfam family "Bacterial small subunit ribosomal RNA", at positions 355 to 825 of the family's 1533-position model. The record is from RNAcentral.